GGGGGGCUUCCCUCCUGGCGUCCUUUCUCCUGAUCCCGCCUCUCAGCUGUCAGAGAUCUGACCCGGGGAACGGUGCACCCAGAACUACUGCUCCGGAUUUCGGAGGAGGUGGGAAAGGAGUCCUCUCACUGCCCCACAUUCCACGGCUUUGGAGAUUCCUCGAUGGCACCCGCAUCCCUCUGUGAGCCAGGGUUGUACUAGGAAUGAUCACGGAUCAGGGAGGGGUAUCCUUUUCAUCCGCGGAGGAGAGAGGGACUCCCCGCACCCUACACCUGACUGCGGCGGGGUGUGUGCGUGUGUGUGCGUGUGUGCGCGUUUGUGUGUUCCUGCUCUAUGAGACUUUUCCCUCUUGUACCUUACAAACCACGCUGCCUUCUGGAGAAUGUACGUCUCAGCGGGUAACUGAUUCACAGAUCCACUGCAAGUCGUUACAGGGUCUCCUCCGCCUCAUCCAGUCCGAACGAGCGGCGAAGCCCGGGUUCAGCAGGCAGAGGCCGCGCCUCAGGGCUCUCCCCACCGCGCCCAGUGUCCGCCGCUCUCACCGCCCUUCUGGGCAGGCUCGGAACCACCAGAGCCUGCGGGACGCCCUUCGCCUCUCCCUCCACUCCAGGGACACUUGCAUAACGUGGAUCUAGAGCAACUCCUUCGCGUUGACCGCGGACGCCCCAGGGCCCGGGCAGCGACCCGCAGGUGGAAGCCGGGUGAAAACUGCCAAGGAGGGAGGUCAGCCCAGCGCGUCCUUGAGAACCCCAUGCUCCUGCUAAGCAGGACCCCAGGCGGAGGGAGCUUAGCGCAGAAGUCGGCGCUCAGCCAGCUCAGAGCUGGGUCCGCCGCACGCAGCCCCCGCGCCCCGCGCUGGCCCCGCCCCCGCGGCCCAUACCUGACCCACGUCCUCGCUGGCUUCCAGCUGCACGUUGCCGCGGCUCCGGCUUUCGCUGUCGCUCAGCAGAUCGUCCUCUGAGUCCUCGGGCAGCGACGAGGAGCCAGUAGAGGAGAGCGACGAGGUGGAGAGGCGGCGCGGCUGCUGCAGGUGUGAGGAGCCCACGGCCGGGAGCCAGCCACCCUCCGGCUCCGGUGGCCCCGGGCUGGUCGGGGGUGACCGGGAAGCUCAGACCUCGUGGACACAAAGUCAGGGCCUGGCCUUCGCAGCCUCUCUGUCCCCGCUCUCGAAGAGACCGGAGGGGUCGCUCCGCCCCCGGGCCCUACUGCCUUGGAGCUGGUCCUGCUCUCGCUCUCCUACCCAGUCCCUCCGGCUCCUUUCCACGAUCCAUCCUGGGCCAAGGAUUCCUGGUCUCCGGGCUUUCCUUCAGCAUGGAAUGCAAGGCCAUCAGCUUCCUGGGGAAGCCUCACCCCAGGGCGUGCGCCCAAGUGGGGACUCUGUCCUGGGCAAGACCUGAGGCUUCUUCCCCCCAAGCUCCCCACUUCUCAGCUGGCAGAGAACAAGGUCAGGGGGGCGGGGCCUGAAUCUCGCGGCGAGUCCUGGCGCAGUCCUGGGCAGCAUCCCUUGGCUACUGGCUGGCAGGGGCUGUGCCCUUCUGACUCCUUUUUCUGUGGAAUUCGGAGCGUGGAGUCUGCUGUGUGAUCCUAAGCAAGUCAUUUCACCUCCUUGAACUGUUGAUUCUUUUCCGCAGGGUUGUCGUCUACCUCACAGAAUUGCUAGGAGAAUAAAAUAAAAUGAAGGAUGUAAAAUCUAUACAAUAUGAGAAUAGUUUUAGUGUGGGUGGUAGGAAGAGCCAGUCUCAGGUUCAUCACACUCUAGAUGUGAUCGUUGACGUCUCUUCCCUUUGUAAAUUUAGGGAAACCUCACCUGACCCAGAGUUGUGGCUGUGACAGGGUAAGAGAGCCACGACGCUGGCUCAUCCGUGGCAUCGUGGUGCAGUAUUUGGCCGCUUCACAAGUUAGUGGUCGGCUGAACUGCAGGGCUGCUUUAAGUAGAGUUUGUAUUUCACAGCAUUUCUUGUCUUCCCCCAAAAUGCCACCGGGGAGGAUCCCUCCUCAGGUGCCUCGUGCCUCAGGAUUGUUGGGGACCCUGUGGGGCAGGAUGCCCCAGAAGGAUUGCCUCUGAUGCUGAUGAAGGCCAAAAGAAGCUCCCCUUCCCCUCAUCUCCCUUCAGCUAGAUUCAAGGAUGGCCCAGGAGGAGACAAAAGGAGGGUUCAGAGAGAGAAAAUGGGAAGCUUCAGCAGAGCAAAAAGGAGAAGGUCCUGGGGGAAUUGAUGAAGAAAGUAAAAGUGUGGAAGGAUGAGUGGAGGGGAAGGAGAGAAAGACGGAAAUACAGGAGUUUGACUAUUCAGAGAACCUGGGAAAUCGCAUGGCUACUUUCUGUGGGCACAGAGAUCUAGAGGAGCCUGGGUGUGUGUGAAGGGUGUACUCUAGAGCUUGAUGGCUCAAAAGCCAUGUCUCCUGCACUCACUUCCCUCUUUCGGGGCUACCUUGGUCUCUGGUGGGACUGGUACUGCCCUCAGGGUAGGGGCAGGCUGGGGGCAAGCCCGGGAUGGGGAGAGUCAACAAGGACUCGCCAGAACUGAAAAGGUGGGAGGGAAAUGAGAGGAGGGAACGUGCACUGUGCACCUGUUAAUGUUUGUGAGAUAUAUAUAUAUAUAUAUAUAUAUAUAUAUAUAUAUAUAUAUAUAUAUAUAAACGACAAUGUUGGAAGCACAAGCAAGCCAGGAGCUGGCUGCCAAGAGAAAACUCAAGGGCAAUUCUUUUUCUUCUUCUAUUAGGCACUUGUCCUAAGCCCAGAAACCAAAGAAGAGCUCUUUGCCAUAUUUUCCAAGUAUCCCUCAGUGGAAAGAACCCCAGACCAGAUAUGGGAGCAACAACAAAAGAACAAAACUGGAAACCGAGAAAGACGAAUACCUGUGGAGCAGAAUCUAUGGGAUGGGGAGGGAUAAGAAGGGCAGAAGACUGCUGCUUUUCACUAUAAAUCACUACGUCUUACGGGUCUAUGUGUGCACACAAACACGUGGAUGUGAAGAGUACAUGUUACUUCAAUAAUUAAAAAAAUUAACUGGAGCAA
This is a long non-coding RNA of Felis catus (domestic cat), 3016 nucleotides long. RefSeq lists it as uncharacterized. The transcript is spliced from 4 exons. NCBI's taxonomy places the organism in Eukaryota, Metazoa, Chordata, Mammalia, Carnivora, Felidae. The record is from RefSeq and is a predicted model, not a curated record.